GGAAUAUUGGACAAUGGGCGCAAGCCUGAUCCAGCCAUGCCGCGUGAGUGAAGAAGGCCUUCGGGUUGUAAAGCUCUUUCGGCCGGCACGAAAUCGUCCGGGCUCAUACCCCGGAUGGAUGACGGUCCCGGAAGAAGAAGCCCCGGCUCACUCCGUGCCAGCAGCCGCGGUAAUACGUAGGGUGCAGGCGUUAAUCGGAAUUACUGGGCGUAAAGCGUGCGCAGGCGGCUACUCAAGUCAGAUGUGAAAUCCCCGGGCUUAACCUGGGAACUGCGUUUGAAACUGGGUGGCUAGAGUGCGGCAGAGGGGGGUGGAGUUCCACGUGUAGCAGUGAAAUGCGUAGAUAUGUGGAGGAACACCGAUGGCGAAGGCAGCCCCCUGGGCCUGCACUGACGCUCAUGCACGAAAGCGUGGGGAGCAAA
Molecule: ribosomal RNA, 422 nt
Filed under: uncultured bacterium
Lineage: Bacteria
Description: bacterial SSU rRNA
Rfam family: Bacterial small subunit ribosomal RNA
Source: RNAcentral